RNAcentral lists this long non-coding RNA (224 nucleotides) under Phoenix dactylifera (date palm). RNAcentral's name for it is "long non-coding RNA (PDAC_LNC009563)". The record is from RNAcentral. Lineage: Eukaryota; Viridiplantae; Streptophyta; Magnoliopsida; Arecales; Arecaceae.
AGCAGGACCGUAGUCCUAUCUGGUCGAUGUUGUGGUCUGCUCGGCUGGAACGGGACGAUCCCUUGCCCUGAGUAGGACGAUCCAUUUUGCCCCCCAUUACCAUCAAAGCCCUAAUUAUAGCAUUGUUUGGGUGUACUUUAGAGCCUAGAUGUCUUUUGAUUUCUAAACCCUGAUGACCAUGCAUCUAUUUAGUUAAUGCAUGGUGUACAUGCCCUAAUCUCCCU